AGAGUUUGAUCCUGGCUCAGGAUGAACGCUGGCGGCGUGCUUGAUGCAUGCAAGUCGAACGAAUCGGCAAUUAGCGGAAUCUCGCUUGAGACAGGGAUGGGGAGAAAUCUUCGGAACUGUGGAUAGUGAUAGGAAACUCUGCGCCGGUUAGUGGCGGAUGGGUGAGUAACACGUGGGUGACCUGCCCCGAAGUGGGGAAUAACUACCCGAAAGGGUGGCUAAUUCCGCAUGUGGUCUAUCAUUCGUUUGAUGGAUUAAAGACUUCGGUUGCUUCGGGAGGGGCUCGCGGCCGAUUAGCUAGUUGGUGGGGUAACGGCUUACCAAGGCGACGAUCGGUAGCUGGUCUGAGAGGACGAUCAGCCACACUGGCACUGACAUACGGGCCAGACUCCUACGGGAGGCAGCAGCAAGGAAUAUUAGACAAUGGGCGAAAGCCUGAUCUAGCAACGCCGCGUGGGCGAUGAAGGCCUUCGGGUUGUAAAGCCCUUUUCUGCGGGAAGAGCGAAGGACGGUACCGCAGGAAUAAGUCUCGGCUAACUACGUGCCAGCAGCAGCGGUAAUACGUAGGAGACGAGCGUUAUCCGGAUUUACUGGGUGUAAAGCGCAUGUAGGCGGGUUCCCAAGUCGAGCAUGAAAUCUCCCGGCUUAACCGGGAGGAGCGGUUCGAUACUAGGAGCCUUGAGGGCAGGAGAGGGAAGCAGAAUUCCCGGUGUAGUGGUGGAAUACGUAGAUAUCGGGAGGAAUACCAGUGGCGAAAGCGGCUUCCUGGCCUGCUCCUAACGCUGAGAUGCGAAAGCGUGGGUAGCAAACGGGAUUAGAUACCCCGGUAGUCCACGCUGUAAACGAUGGAUACUAGGUGUUGGUGGCCCUUUACCCCACCAGUGCCGAAGCUAACGCGAUAAGUAUCCCACCUGGGGACUACGGUCGCAAGACUAAAACUCAAAGGAAUUGACGGGGGCCCGCACAAGCAGCGGAGCGUGUGGUUCAAUUCGAUGAUACACGAAGAACCUUACCUGGGUUUGACAUGCUAGUGGUAGUGACGCGAAAGCCGAACGACCCUUCGGGGAGCUAGCACAGGUGCUGCAUGGUUGUCGUCAGCUCGUGCCGUGAGGUGUUAGGUUAAGUCCUGCAACGAGCGCAACCCUUCUCGUUAGUUAUACUUUUCUAGCGAUACCGCCGGGGUAACUCGGAGGAAGGUGAGGAUGACGUCAAAUCAGCAUGGCCUUUAUAUCCAGGGCUACACACACGCCACAAUGGCCGACACAAUGGGUUGCCAAACCGCGAGGUGGAGCCAAUCCCCCAAAGUCGGUCUCAGUUCGGAUUGGAGGCUGCAACUCGCCUCCAUGAAGCUGGAGUUGCUAGUAACCGCCGGUCAGCUAUACGGCGGUGAAUACGUUCCCGGGCCUUGUACACACCGCCCGUCACGUCAUGGAAGCCGGUAACACCUGAAGCCGGUGGGCUAACCGCAAGGAGGCAGCCGUCGAAGGUGGGACUGGUGACUGGGACGAAGUCGUAACAAGGUA
This 1523-nucleotide ribosomal RNA is filed under the name metagenome. Its description in RNAcentral is "bacterial SSU rRNA". It matches the Rfam family "Bacterial small subunit ribosomal RNA". The record is from RNAcentral.